RNAcentral lists this long non-coding RNA (413 nucleotides) under Homo sapiens (human). RNAcentral's name for it is "long non-coding RNA NONHSAT040333.2". Lineage: Eukaryota; Metazoa; Chordata; Mammalia; Primates; Hominidae. The record is from RNAcentral.
AUCUGUCACCUCUGUGUAGAACAUGGUCUGUCUGGAGCCAGUCAGGCAUCCCUUCCCUGAUCACGUUGUACUCGCCAGGUGGGGUGGGUGUUGUCGAUGUGAUUAAGGACCCUAACCGGUGACUUGAGCUCAUCAGAAGGGAGAGCAUCCUAGGCGGGCAUGGCCCGAUCACGAAGCCCUCCAGAGGGUGUUUCAACGCCAGAAAGGGAGAAAUUCAGGCCAGUCCUGCUGGCCCUGAAGGGGAAGCAACCGCCAUGCUGGGAAGGGCCAACAGCCAGCAGGGAGGUGGGACCCAGUCCCCAGCCACCAGGAGCUGAAUUCUGCCAUAACCUCGUGAGCCGGGAAGACCCCAAGCCCCCAUGAGAUUGCAGAUCCGGCUGACAACCUGCCUGCAACCUGUCAAGGCCAAGCAG